RNAcentral lists this transfer RNA (75 nucleotides) under Ralstonia solanacearum. RNAcentral's name for it is "tRNA-Ala". The record is from RNAcentral. Lineage: Bacteria; Pseudomonadati; Pseudomonadota; Betaproteobacteria; Burkholderiales; Burkholderiaceae.
GUCGCGUGGACAACGCAUUGAUGUUGUGGAAUCGCGCGCCACAACAGGCCGCGCGUGGCACGCGCGCGCGCGACC